Molecule: ribosomal RNA, 465 nt
Filed under: uncultured bacterium
Lineage: Bacteria
Description: partial 16S ribosomal RNA
Rfam family: Bacterial small subunit ribosomal RNA
Source: RNAcentral
GAUGAACGCUGGCGGCGUGCUUAACACAUGCAAGUCGAACGGCAAGGCCCAAGCUUGUUUGUGUUCUCGAUUGGCGAACGGGUGAGUAACACGUAGGCAAUCUGCUCUGCACUUCCGUAUAAGCUUGGGUAACUGGGUCUACUCCCGUAUAGGACCACAUUUUGGAUGGUGUGGUGGAAAGUUUUUCGGUGUGCGAUGAUCGCUCGGCCUAUCUGCUUUUUGGUGGUGUAAUGGGAUACCAAGCCGUAGACGGGUAGCCGGCCUGUGAGGGUGUACGGGGACAAUGGGACUGAGAGACGGAGCAGACGCGUACGGGAGGCAGCAGGGGGGAAUAUUGCACAAUGGGAGCAAGCCGGGUGAAGAGACGUCGGGUGGGGGAUGACGGCCUGCGGGUUGUAAACAGCUGUAGCUAGGGACGAAGCGCAAGUGACGGUACCUGGAGAAGAAGCACCGGCUAACUACGUG